This is a long non-coding RNA of Oncorhynchus mykiss (rainbow trout), 1833 nucleotides long. RefSeq lists it as uncharacterized. Lineage: Eukaryota; Metazoa; Chordata; Actinopteri; Salmoniformes; Salmonidae. The record is from RefSeq and is a predicted model, not a curated record.
GAGAAAGAGACAGCGAUAUCGAGGGCGAUGGUCGGGGCCUUGUAAGGAUCUGGCGGAGAUAGAGGGAUAACACUCUCCCCAGCCAGGCAGACGAGUGCAGAUUACAAGACGAGUGCAGAGGGAUCUGUCACGCCUUCAGCCAGCAUGCAUAAAUACUGUGGAUUUGUUGAGAACACUCAUGAGUCCAACAAAGAUGAAGAGGGAGAAGAAGAUGAUGGAGGAAGAAGAAGGAGAAAUGGGAACUAUAGCUCCAGGAGGUGGGACAGUGGUGAACGGAGCGGGCCAGGUUACAGGAUCCAACCCUGGGGACCUCCAUGGAGGAAGGAGUGUGGCUCAACAAGAAGAGGAGGAAGCAACGUCAUAAACAGAAGCUCUUGUCUCUGGGUCUGGUGCCCCGUGCUGCGGCUCGAGUUCACCUACGAGAGCGAGGGGGGAGGAAGAGAUGAGGCAGAGAAGAGCGGGCUGAAGUGAUAAUCUUCCUCAGGACCACACAAGAUCUAUGUGUCUGAUUGUGAGUGUGACAUACCAGGGCUGCUAAUCAACCCAGAUACGGUCACAUAUAGCCUAGGCUGUGUUUCAGUCUUCCUAAGAGCUGGCCAAAAGUGCUGAAGCAUAGUUCAUUUUAUCGCUUUCGGGAUUGGCAGAAAAUAAAUAAUUUGAACAGCACUGUACAGAGCACACGCACAUUGAAAGUGAAAGCACAGCUCAUUAAUCACUAGCCUAUAACAACUUGAGGACCUUGAGAGAUUUAGGAAUCGAGGUGUAGAGGUGCAUUGAGGUGUUUUGGGUUUACUUCAUCAUGCUCAAAUGUAAUGGACAGGCUCAGUCAUCUGGUCUGUCAUAAUCCCUCCAUGACUUGCCUCUGGAGGGCUAGACAGACCGACAGUCAGUCAGUCCAAAGAAUCCCAUUGGUUCCAGGGAUUAAGGUUUCUCUGUUGGUGAAUUACUGUGGGAGGCUAAGAAGGAAGACCUCUGGAAAUGUCCACAGUAGUUCAGUUAAAGGGGCCAGGUGCUCCUGUUCCUUAUAUGCACCUCAGUCUAGAGAAAGACCAGGUGAUUAGACACAGGCCCAUUCAGCAACAGAGUUCAUAAUGGUUGGUGGAGUAAUAGUAUACUGACUCCACUACUAAGCAGGUUCAUCUGGUAGUGGAGGGCCUUCUGACCAGCCUGUACAAUGGAACAUUCCCCCCUGCUGUUUUGGCCCAGCUCCACAGCCUCUAGUCCCUGGUGCAGCAACAGGACACAGCAAGGAUGGCAAAAUAUCUGCAGGAACUCCAGAACAGCUCUACCAUGUCUACUGGUGAUGCCACUGCAGCUGUGUCCCUGUUUCAGUACUGGAUCACAGACAUCCCGCCCAUGCAGAGAGAAUGGAAAACAGGCCAACCUACAACAUAACCUUCCUAGUCGAGCCAACCAACAACACAACCUUAGACUUUCCUAGAUGUUCAGGAUUUUUAACAAUACUGCUGACGGAAAACAUGUCUGACUUAAUUCAUUGUGAGCCCAUGAAACGGAGUUAAGUACAUACCGUAAGCUCACUCCACAGCUAGCUUUAAAUGUCGCGGAUGGAGCCAUCCAAUCGGUACCUUUUGGGUGGCUCAAACCGUUGGAAUGUUGUCAAGGAGGGAGGCAACGUAUGUUAGCAAAGCAGAGGUCCCGAGUUCGAGCCAGGUAUGAGCCGAAUGGAGGAAGUGAUUCCAGACGAAAUUAAUUAACCGUUUAAUGGAUUUUCCCCACAGAAAAGUGAGGCGAACAAGUGUUUUUUAAUUAUUUUGUUAUAAAUUAAAACAUUAAGUGGAUAAGGAAUAACAUUACUUUACCACAUUGUCCUAU